AUUUAAAUCAAAGAAGCAUUUUAAUUUGAAAUAAAGAUAAAUUUGAUCUAUGCAAUCAAACAGCAACGAAUGACCAAUUGUACACGGUGAAGCUGAGUGGUGCCACAAGCACCGUACAACGACGUGCAGGAGCGAACAGAGGACAUCACGAGUUCUUCCAUCACUCGCCGCAAGAUGCAGCACUGAACGGAUGUGAGGAGACAGCAUGCUGCCCGGCCGAGAAUGGUGCGUCCUGCUGGCGAUGGUGCUCUGUCUGCCCGGGAGCAGGGCAUCCUGCAACGCAUUGUUCGACAGAAAAAUACUCAAGCAAGUUGUCCAGGAGGCCAUCGCUGAGUCUCUCUCUCAGGCUGGCCUGACCGCAGGGGGCGGCUGCCCGCACGGCUUCGUGCCGUGCGCCGGCCGCUGCUACACUCGCCUGAAUGCGGCCGUAGACAACGACCGCGCCGUGCGACAGUGCGCCACGUUUGGCGCCCACCUGGCCGUGCCGCGCACCCACAACCAGAACCUGUGCGUGGCGGGGCUGGCCGGCCGCGAGCGCGUCUGGCUGGGCAUCACGGACCGCGAGGAGGAGGGGGUGUUCAAAGCUGCCGACGGGGGCGUGGUGACGGCCAGCGAAGCGCACUGGUCCAAAGGACAGCCGGACAAUUAUAAGAAAUCCGAGGAUUGUGUGGAGAUGUGGAACCCCGCCACUUCGCGAAAAAUUAAGUUUGGAGAGUGGAAUGACAUUCGGUGUAACUUUCACGCCUUCCCGAUGUGUCAGCUGGACUCGAGAAUUCAUACUCCCGCGAAAUAACGCUUUCGCUUAAAAAAUGCUAAAAAAAAAUAGGAUUAUGACCGCGUCAGCUUUGCCAAUCUGCCAGACACACUGGUUCGGACGAAUUGGAAACCAUUAAAUCCGACAUGCGUCGCUACUUUUUCCAUCAUUAAGAAACAGUGAGAUCUCGUUCAAUGACGGAUCGAAUUAACCGUUGACGUCAUGUUCGCUUGGAGGAGCCCAUUUCACACACACGACGAAGUUUUAGAAUGUCUCGUCGGUUUUCCGCUGGGAGCGCAACUUCACGUUCGGCCAACGGAGAGCACUCCAGCGCACAGAAGCAGUGCAUCGUGCGGAUCCAGUACCUUAUCGCUCAUCUGUCUGCUUUAUCACUGAAUUCCUGUUGUUGAACGUGACGUGUUACCGUCCAUUGUGCUCAAUGAGACGCAUGCUCUAAAAUAAUUGUCUUGACCACUGCAUUAUCGAACUGUAAUAAAUGGCGUCGAGUUGAAAAA
RNA transcript from Pollicipes pollicipes, 1269 nucleotides. It is a transcript of the gene named hepatic lectin, with no coding region annotated. NCBI's taxonomy places the organism in Eukaryota, Metazoa, Arthropoda, Thecostraca, Pollicipedomorpha, Pollicipedidae. The transcript has 3 exons. The record is from RefSeq and is a predicted model, not a curated record.